AGAGUUUGAUCCUGGCUCAGGACGAACGCUGGCGGCAUGCCUAAUACAUGCAAGUCGAACGAACCAUCCUGAAGAUUGAAGCUUGCUUCAUGAUUCAGACCUUGGUGAGUGGCGGACGGGUGAGUAACACGUGGGUAACCUGCCCAAAAGUGGGGGAUAACAUCUGGAAACAGGUGCUAAUACCGCAUAACAACUACUUUCUCAUGAUCGUAGCUUGAAAGAUGGCUCUGCUAUCGCUUUUGGAUGGACCCGCGGCGUAUUAGCUAGUUGGUGAGGUAAUAGCUCACCAAGGCAAUGAUACGUAGCCGACCUGAGAGGGUAAUCGGCCACAUUGGGACUGAGACACGGCCCAAACUCCUACGGGAGGCAGCAGUAGGGAAUCUUCCACAAUGGGCGAAAGCCUGAUGGAGCAAUGCCGCGUGAGUGAAGAAGGUUUUCGGAUCGUAAAACUCUGUUGUUGAAGAAGAACAUGCGUGAGAGUAACUGUUCACGUACUGACGGUAUUCAACCAGAAAGCCACGGCUAACUACGUGCCAGCAGCCGCGGUAAUACGUAGGUGGCAAGCGUUGUCCGGAUUUAUUGGGCGUAAAGAGAAUGUAGGCGGUUUAUUAAGUUUGAAGUGAAAGCCCUCGGCUCAACCGAGGAAGUGCUUCGAAAACUGGUAAACUUGAGUGCAGAAGAGGAAAGUGGAACUCCAUGUGUAGCGGUGGAAUGCGUAGAUAUAUGGAAGAACACCAGUGGCGAAGGCGGCUUUCUGGUCUGUAACUGACGCUGAGAUUCGAAAGCAUGGGUAGCAAACAGGAUUAGAUACCCUGGUAGUCCAUGCCGUAAACGAUGAGUGCUAAGUGUUGGAGGGUUUCCGCCCUUCAGUGCUGCAGCUAACGCAUUAAGCACUCCGCCUGGGGAGUACGAUCGCAAGAUUGAAACUCAAAGGAAUUGACGGGGGCCCGCACAAGCGGUGGAGCAUGUGGUUUAAUUCGAAGCAACGCGAAGAACCUUACCAGGUCUUGACAUACCAUGAAAAGCUAAGAGAUUAGUCUUUCCCUUCGGGGACAUGGAUACAGGUGGUGCAUGGUUGUCGUCAGCUCGUGUCGUGAGAUGUUGGGUUAAGUCCCGCAACGAGCGCAACCCUUAUUAUCAGUUGCCAGCAUUCAGUUGGGCACUCUGGUGAGACUGCCGGUGACAAACCGGAGGAAGGUGGGGACGACGUCAAAUCAUCAUGCCCCUUAUGACCUGGGCUACACACGUGCUACAAUGGUCGGUACAACGUGCUGCGAACUCGCGAGGGUAAGCAAAUCACUUAAAACCGAUCUCAGUUCGGAUUGUAGGCUGCAACUCGCCUACAUGAAGCUGGAAUCGCUAGUAAUCGCGGAUCAGCAUGCCGCGGUGAAUACGUUCCCGGGCCUUGUACACACCGCCCGUCACACCAUGAGAGUUUGUAACACCCAAAGUCGGUGGGGUAACCCUUCGGGGAACUAGCCGCCUAAGGUGGGACAAAUGAUUAGGGUGAAGUCGUAACAAGGUAGCCGUAGGAGAACCUGCGGCUG
RNAcentral lists this ribosomal RNA (1547 nucleotides) under Companilactobacillus crustorum. Its description in RNAcentral is "bacterial SSU rRNA". It matches the Rfam family "Bacterial small subunit ribosomal RNA". Lineage: Bacteria; Bacillati; Bacillota; Bacilli; Lactobacillales; Lactobacillaceae. The record is from RNAcentral. RNAcentral also lists the same sequence under 1 other name.